GUCUCGCUAUGUUGCCCAGUCUGGUCUUGAACUCCUGGCCUCGAGAUCCUCCUGCCUCGGCUUCACAAAGUUCUGGGAUUACAGCACCAGAAGGGUUUGAGACAUAUGGUAAAUGCUGAAGAAAUCCUUGGAAAAUGAAUGAAUCUUGUCCAACAUCUUCAUUGCAAAAGUGAGGAGGAAGAGGAUGUGCCACCUACAGUGCCU
RNAcentral lists this long non-coding RNA (204 nucleotides) under Homo sapiens (human). RNAcentral describes it as "HSALNT0330320". Lineage: Eukaryota; Metazoa; Chordata; Mammalia; Primates; Hominidae. The record is from RNAcentral.